ACAGACUGCUUUUUAAGUGUAUUUAGAGCCCCACAGCACUUUAGCAUUAGGUGGCAAGGCUUCCUGGAGCUCAAGUUCUGACAACUGGGAUCAGCAAUUCUCUGGCUAGGGCUGGUUUUACUACUCCCUCUGUGGGUUGGCAUCAGCUGAGUUUGGUCUGAUUUUGCUUUCUGCUAUAACAGGUCAUCACUGAGAUUUAUACAAUAAAACCAGGUGAGCACUUGGGAUAUUUCAGAUGUUUCCCUGUUGUAAUGAAGCUUUUUAAAAAUGCUUUGCAAGUCUUUGGAUGUUUCCUUGCCUCGAACAUUGGACUCCAAGUUCUUCAGUUUUGGGACUCCGACUGGCUCUCCUUGCUUCUUGCUUCUCAGCCUGCAGGCAGCCUAUUGUGGGACCUUGUGAUUGUUUGUUUUUCAGUGACCCUCCAGAGGACUAAAGGAAAGUUUUGCUUCGCCCCUACAGUUUUGGCACUGUGAGCAGUAUACCAAAACUACUCCACCCUUCCGAAAGCCACAGUGAAGAAAACCCAAGGCCUGACAAGCCAGCAGAAGUGCAAAAAAGUUUUACCAAUCAGGUCAUUAGCCUCUAGCUCUGUGGAAUCUGGUUGAGUUCAUGGUAAAACUCACUGUUUUUCACUUUUUCCUCUCCAAAAUUAUGAUUAAUGGAAGAAAACUAUUUGCGUGACUAGUAUCAGAUAUAGUUCUUCUGUUUUAGUUUUUGCUCUAAGUAUUCAUAUUAGCUGAUACUUUUCCUCCUAGAAAUAUUGUUUUCCUUUGUCUUUUUCUGUCUUGUUAUGUCAAAGAGAAGUAUCAUAGGGUAAAACAUAGGCUUAAAACCUCCAUUAACGCAUUUUUCAAGCUGACCCUGCACACUGGUCAGUUUUGUGUUUCUGACCACACCAGAGUCUAUUUAGACAAACUUGUUGUAGGUCCCCAAAAUAAAAACCAGAUGAGCUUCCCCUCUCUUGUUCUAUGUCACUGAGAGCUUGACUAGUAAUCAAGUGGGAGAACGCUUUUCUAGUCUCCAUCAUUUAUGGGGUGUGACUUUGGGGUGAAGUCUAGUGGUAAGUCUGUAAUAUGGCUGGGAACCUGAGACAUCUGAGAUUUUAAGCAGCACCCUCUUUGCUCUGAAUGUGCUAGUGUCUCAAGGGAGUCUGUCUUAAGACGUCCCAUCCAUAAGGGGCUUCUGUCAGCUCAAUCAUUUUUGCCUGAUUACUCCUGGGAAAGUCUAAUCCCAAGAGGGCCUACCAGGCAUCAAAUUAAUGGGUCUGUAACUGUAAGCUUCCCACAAAUUUGUAAAGUACUGAAGGAAUGACACUCACAAAUACCAUACUUAACCAUCUGUGACAACAAGAGGCUUUUUCUAUCUUAGCCUAUUUCUGAGAGUGAAUUAUUAGGAGAUUAUUGGAACCGCCUCUUUUAUGCCCCCUCCAGGAACACCUCUUUGUUAUAUAGUAAAAACUUAUUCUGUACUUGGAAAAUUACCUCCUGCACUUUCCAUUAAGACAUGUAUUGAAUUGAGUUGCUAUUGAAAUAAGC
RNAcentral lists this long non-coding RNA (1535 nucleotides) under Homo sapiens (human). RNAcentral's name for it is "HSALNT0284489". Lineage: Eukaryota; Metazoa; Chordata; Mammalia; Primates; Hominidae. The record is from RNAcentral.